UACAGAGGGGGCAAGCGUUGUCCGGAAUCAUUGGGCGUAAAGGGCGCGUAGGCGGCGACCCAAGUCAGAUGUGAAAGUCCUGGGCUUAACCUGGGGACUGCAUUUGAUACUGGGUUGCUUGAAUUCGGGAGAGGAUAGCGGAAUUCCCAGUGUAGAGGUGAAAUUCGUAGAUAUUGGGAAGAACACCGGUGGCGAAGGCGGCUAUCUGGACCGACAUUGACGCUGAGGCGCGAAAGCGUGGGGAGCAAACAGG
This 253-nucleotide ribosomal RNA is filed under the name uncultured bacterium. RNAcentral's name for it is "partial 16S ribosomal RNA". It matches the Rfam family "Bacterial small subunit ribosomal RNA", at positions 524 to 776 of the family's 1533-position model. The record is from RNAcentral.